UAUACGACCGUACCGCAAACCGACACUGGUGCGCGAGAUGAGUAUUCUAAGGCGCUUGAGAGAACUCAGGAGAAGGAACUCGGCAAAUUGACACCGUAACUUCGGAAGAAGGUGUGCCCUAUUAGUGUGUAGUGAACAACGAAGCAUGAAUGGGUUGCAAAAAAUCGGUGGCUGCGACUGUUUAUUAAAAACACAGCACUCUGCAAACACGAAAGUGGACGUAUAGGGUGUGACGCCUGCCCGGUGCUGGAAGAUUAAAUGAUGGGGUGCAAGCUCUUGAUUGAAGUCCCAGUAAACGGCGGCCGUAACGAUAACGGUCCUAAGGUAGCGAAAUUCCUUGUCGGGUAAGUUCCGACCUGCACGAAUGGCGUAACGAUGGCCACACUGUCUCCUCCUGAGACUCAGCGAAGUUGAAAUGUUUGUGAUGAUGCAAUCUCCCCGCGGAAAGACGGAAAGACCCCAUGAACCUUUACUGUAGCUUUGUAUUGGACUUUGAACAGAUCUGUGUAGGAUAGGUGGGAGGCUUUGAAGCAGGGUCGCUAGAUCUUGUGGAGCCAACGUUGAAAUACCACCCUGGUGUGUUUGAGGUUCUAACCUAGGUCCAUUAUCUGGAUCGGGGACAGUGCAUGGUAGGCAGUUUGACUGGGGCGGUCUCCUCCCAAAGCGUAACGGAGGAGUUCGAAGGUACGCUAGUUACGGUCGGACAUCGUGACGAUAGUGCAAUGGCAUAAGCGUGCUUAACUGCGAGACUGACAAGUCGAGCAGAUGCGAAAGCAGGACAUAGUGAUCCGGUGGUUCUGUAUGGAAGGGCCAUCGCUCAACGGAUAAAAGGUACUCUGGGGAUAACAGGCUGAUACCGCCCAAGAGUUCAUAUCGACGGCGGUGUUUGGCACCUCGAUGUCGGCUCAUCUCAUCCUGGGGCUGUAGCCGGUCCCAAGGGUAUGGCUGUUCGCCAUUUAAAGAGGUACGUGAGCUGGGUUUAAAACGUCGUGAGACAGUUUGGUCCCUAUCUUCCGUGGGCGCUGCAGAUUUGAGGAAGCCUGCUCCUAGUACGAGAGGACCGGAGUGGACACACCUCUGGUGUAUCGGUUGUCACGCCAGUGGCAUUGCCGAGUAGCUAAGUGUGGAAGAGAUAACCGCUGAAAGCAUCUAAGCGGGAAACUCGUUUCAAGAUGAGAUCUGCCGGGGCCUUGAGCCCCCUAAAGAGUCGUUCAAGACCAGGACGUUGAUAGGUCAGGUGUUGAAGCG
RNAcentral lists this ribosomal RNA (1248 nucleotides) under metagenome. RNAcentral describes it as "bacterial LSU rRNA". It matches the Rfam family "Bacterial large subunit ribosomal RNA", at positions 1635 to 2875 of the family's 2925-position model. The record is from RNAcentral.